This 1373-nucleotide ribosomal RNA is filed under the name Chryseobacterium sp. T87L.09.P.MUS.NO.H.Gill.M. RNAcentral describes it as "bacterial SSU rRNA". It matches the Rfam family "Bacterial small subunit ribosomal RNA". Lineage: Bacteria; Pseudomonadati; Bacteroidota; Flavobacteriia; Flavobacteriales; Weeksellaceae. The record is from RNAcentral.
GCAGCCGAGCGGUAUUGUUUCUUCGGAAUGAGAGAGCGGCGUACGGGUGCGGAACACGUGUGCAACCUGCCUUUAUCUGGGGGAUAGCCUUUCGAAAGGAAGAUUAAUACCCCAUAAUAUAUUGAAUGGCAUCAUUCGAUAUUGAAAACUCCGGUGGAUAGAGAUGGGCACGCGCAAGAUUAGAUAGUUGGUGAGGUAACGGCUCACCAAGUCUACGAUCUUUAGGGGGCCUGAGAGGGUGAUCCCCCACACUGGUACUGAGACACGGACCAGACUCCUACGGGAGGCAGCAGUGAGGAAUAUUGGACAAUGGGUGAGAGCCUGAUCCAGCCAUCCCGCGUGAAGGACGACGGCCCUAUGGGUUGUAAACUUCUUUUGUAUAGGGAUAAACCUACUCUCGUGAGAGUAGCUGAAGGUACUAUACGAAUAAGCACCGGCUAACUCCGUGCCAGCAGCCGCGGUAAUACGGAGGGUGCAAGCGUUAUCCGGAUUUAUUGGGUUUAAAGGGUCCGUAGGCGGAUUUGUAAGUCAGUGGUGAAAUCUCACAGCUUAACUGUGAAACUGCCAUUGAUACUGCAAGUCUUGAGUGUUGUUGAAGUAGCUGGAAUAAGUAGUGUAGCGGUGAAAUGCAUAGAUAUUACUUAGAACACCAAUUGCGAAGGCAGGUUACUAAGCAACAACUGACGCUGAUGGACGAAAGCGUGGGGAGCGAACAGGAUUAGAUACCCUGGUAGUCCACGCCGUAAACGAUGCUAACUCGUUUUUGGGUUUUCGGAUUCAGAGACUAAGCGAAAGUGAUAAGUUAGCCACCUGGGGAGUACGUUCGCAAGAAUGAAACUCAAAGGAAUUGACGGGGGCCCGCACAAGCGGUGGAUUAUGUGGUUUAAUUCGAUGAUACGCGAGGAACCUUACCAAGGCUUAAAUGGGAAAUGACAGGUUUAGAAAUAGACUUUUCUUCGGACAUUUUUCAAGGUGCUGCAUGGUUGUCGUCAGCUCGUGCCGUGAGGUGUUAGGUUAAGUCCUGCAACGAGCGCAACCCCUGUCACUAGUUGCCAUCAUUAAGUUGGGGACUCUAGUGAGACUGCCUACGCAAGUAGAGAGGAAGGUGGGGAUGACGUCAAAUCAUCACGGCCCUUACGCCUUGGGCCACACACGUAAUACAAUGGCCGGUACAGAGGGCAGCUACACAGCGAUGUGAUGCAAAUCUCGAAAGCCGGUCUCAGUUCGGAUUGGAGUCUGCAACUCGACUCUAUGAAGCUGGAAUCGCUAGUAAUCGCGCAUCAGCCAUGGCGCGGUGAAUACGUUCCCGGGCCUUGUACACACCGCCCGUCAAGCCAUGGAAGUCUGGGGUACCUGAAGUCGGGACCGAACAG